CUUUCAUGAAAAUUAUUAAUAUUAUAGAUUAUAGAUAGAUGAUAAAUAGGCUAAAUUAUAGAAAACUUAUUUAUAAGGGUUAAUUGCAUACGCGUUCCUGCAAAUAUGGUGAAUUACAGAUAUAUCCCUACUGUUGAUACCAAAAUUGAGCUGACCUAACCCACGUAUAAGCCAAUAAGGACACGUGGUACACCAGGAGUCGGCAAUAAGGCGCCUGAAGGACAAGAAGGCGGGAACGGUUGAAGAUUGGGACGUAACUUUCAUGAGGAGUUAGCGUAACUUCCAUGAGGAGUUAGUAUAACUUCCACGAUCAUGGUUACAACCACUUCCCCAAACUACUUUCAACCAACUAAUAAUGUGGGCUAUAAAUAGUAACUUUGAAGCCUGCAAUAGGGGUCUUCGCCCCUGCGCACAAAAGACCACCCUUAUUUCCUCUGCAUUUUAUCGCUUUUCUAGAAGUAGUCUAAAUGUAAUCUUUUUCUUUUCCGCAUUUACCGCUUUCCUAGGAGUAGUUCUUGUAAUUUAGAUCUUUAGAGUCUGUCUGCCCCACGGGCAUCACUCCCUUAUAGAUCUUUGGAGUCUGUCUACCCCAUGGGCAUCACUCCCUUGUAGAAUAUACUUG
RNAcentral lists this long non-coding RNA (622 nucleotides) under Ananas comosus (pineapple). Its description in RNAcentral is "long non-coding RNA (ACOM_LNC008581)". The record is from RNAcentral. Lineage: Eukaryota; Viridiplantae; Streptophyta; Magnoliopsida; Poales; Bromeliaceae.